AGCUUAGUUUUAUAAAAAAAAAAAGAAGGGAAAGAUGGUCAAUUUCUUGAUAAUGCCUAUUAAUUUGUUAUAACUAUGGUUGGACAAUGAUCACAUUAGCAUAUUCAUAAUGUAUGCUUUUGAAACAAAGUGAUCUGAUAUCCAUUGUCUGCAAUCUGUCUCACAAUAAUGUCUUUGGCAACUGUAUUUUUUUUUUUAUAUUAGCUUACUUUUAUAUAAAAAAGGGGAAAGAUGGUCAAUUUCUUGAUAAUGCCUAUUAAGAAUUUGUUAUAACUAUGGUUGGACAAUGAUCACAUUAGCAUAUUCAUAAUGUAUGCUUUUUGAAACAAAGUGAUCUGAUAUCCAUUGUCUGCAAUCUGUCUCACAAUAAUGUCUUUGGCAACUGUAUUUGUUUUUAUAUCAGC
Molecule: long non-coding RNA, 404 nt
Filed under: Musa acuminata (dwarf banana)
Lineage: Eukaryota; Viridiplantae; Streptophyta; Magnoliopsida; Zingiberales; Musaceae
Description: long non-coding RNA (MACU_LNC003162)
Source: RNAcentral